RNAcentral lists this ribosomal RNA (787 nucleotides) under uncultured Sulfitobacter sp. Its description in RNAcentral is "bacterial SSU rRNA". It matches the Rfam family "Bacterial small subunit ribosomal RNA", at positions 38 to 871 of the family's 1533-position model. The record is from RNAcentral. Lineage: Bacteria; Pseudomonadati; Pseudomonadota; Alphaproteobacteria; Rhodobacterales; Roseobacteraceae.
GGCGGCAGGCCUAACACAUGCAAGUCGAGCGCAGUCCUUCGGGACCGAGCGGCGGACGGGUUAGUAACGCGUGGGAACAUACCCUUUUCUACGGAAUAGCCUCGGGAAACUGAGAGUAAUACCGUAUAAGCCCUUCGGGGGAAAGAUUUAUCGGGAAAGGAUUGGCCCGCGUUAGAUUAGAUAGUUGGUGGGGUAAUGGCCUACCAAGUCUACGAUCUAUAGCUGGUUUUAGAGGAUGAUCAGCAACACUGGGACUGAGACACGGCCCAGACUCCUACGGGAGGCAGCAGUGGGGAAUCUUAGACAAUGGGCGCAAGCCUGAUCUAGCCAUGCCGCGUGUGUGAUGAAGGUCUUAGGAUCGUAAAGCACUUUCGCCAGGGAUGAUAAUGACAGUACCUGGUAAAGAAACCCCGGCUAACUCCGUGCCAGCAGCCGCGGUAAUACGGAGGGGGUUAGCGUUGUUCGGAAUUACUGGGCGUAAAGCGUACGUAGGCGGAUCAGAAAGUUAGGGGUGAAAUCCCGAGGCUCAACCUCGGAACUGCCUCUAAAACUCCUGGUCUUGAGUUCGAGAGAGGUGAGUGGAAUUCCAAGUGUAGAGGUGAAAUUCGUAGAUAUUUGGAGGAACACCAGUGGCGAAGGCGGCUCACUGGCUCGAUACUGACGCUGAGGUACGAAAGUGUGGGGAGCAAACAGGAUUAGAUACCCUGGUAGUCCACACCGUAAACGAUGAAUGCCAGUCGUCGGGCAGUAUACUGUUCGGUGACACACCUAACGGAUUAAGCAUCCG